CUUUUUUUAAUAGUAUUGUAGAAACAAUAUAAUUAUAUAUCUAUAAAAUGGUGGAUCACAUGGUACAGGAUGCUGAGUUUGCUUUUUGUAUCUGCAACUCUAUCACACUUAGUCAAUGGCUGCUGUUUUUCAAACUGUGCUUUUGUAUGGUUAGGAAGGCCAAACUUAACAAAAAACUUACCAGUGUAUUCUGUGGUGUCAUGGGAGCAGAAUGGGAGAAAAAAAUUGUUUGUUACAAUGUUGAGUUUGCCCUUCAUAUCUACAAUGCCUCAUAUAAAAAGUAUUUCCAGUUUAUGACCAUUUCAACUUAAAGCUUUGUCGUUGGAACUGAAUCCUUUCUAAAGUCAAAGAUUAACUUUAAAUUCAUUUGAAGAUGGUAGUCAUUACUCCAACUUUAAAUAUUUGCC
Molecule: long non-coding RNA, 407 nt
Filed under: Androctonus crassicauda
Lineage: Eukaryota; Metazoa; Arthropoda; Arachnida; Scorpiones; Buthidae
Source: RNAcentral